GACGAACGCUGGCGGCGUGCUUGACACAUGCAAGUCGAACGGAAAGGCCUGCUUUCCCUUGUGGAUUGCGGGUACUCGAGUGGCGAACGGGUGAGUAACACGUGAGUGAUCUGCCCCCAACUUGGGUAUAAGCCUGGGAAACUGGGUCUAAUUCCCGAUAGGACUGCAGGGUGGUGCCUGUGGUGGAAAACGAUUUUCUAGUGGUUGGGGAUGAGCUCGCGGCCUAUCAGCUUGUUGGUGGGGUAAUGGCCUACCAAGGCGGCGACGGGUAGCCGGCCUGAGAGGGUGGACGGCCACAUUGGGACUGAGAUACGGCCCAGACUCCUACGGGAGGCAGCAGUGGGGAAUAUUACACAAUGGGCGGAAGCCUGAUGCAGCGACGCCGCGUGGGGGAUGACGGCCUUCGGGUUGUAAACUCCUUUCGACCGCGAGGAAGCCACCUGGUUGGAAGGGUGGUGACGGUAGUGGUAGAAGAAGCACCGGCUAACUACGUG
This 494-nucleotide ribosomal RNA is filed under the name uncultured bacterium. RNAcentral's name for it is "partial 16S ribosomal RNA". It matches the Rfam family "Bacterial small subunit ribosomal RNA", at positions 28 to 507 of the family's 1533-position model. The record is from RNAcentral.